Molecule: small nuclear RNA, 107 nt
Organism: Oryctolagus cuniculus (rabbit)
Lineage: Eukaryota; Metazoa; Chordata; Mammalia; Lagomorpha; Leporidae
Source: Ensembl
GGGCUCGCUUCGGCAGCACAUAGACUAAAAUUGGAAUUAUACAGAGAAGAUUAGCGUGGCCCCUGUGCAAGGAUGACAUGCAAAUUCAUGAAGCGUUCUAUAUUUAA